RNAcentral lists this long non-coding RNA (6501 nucleotides) under Medicago truncatula (barrel medic). RNAcentral's name for it is "long non-coding RNA (MTRU_LNC006154)". Lineage: Eukaryota; Viridiplantae; Streptophyta; Magnoliopsida; Fabales; Fabaceae. The record is from RNAcentral.
UGUCUCUUUUAAAGCUUCUGCUCAAACUUCCUUCAAUUCCUUCCCAUCAGUUCUUGCUUCUAAACACCAACAUAAGGUAAAACCAUCAUCAAUAGAUUACAUGCAAGCCAAUUAUCAAGCUCAAGAUAAAACUUUCCAAAACAGCAUGUGAAUGAUGAUGGUACAGCUGGGGAAGAAAAGAAAGCAAUUAAGUUUGUUUUAGGGAUGAAAUAGUGUGAAGAUUGUGAUAGUUUCUUUGCAUGUUGGAUUGAUAUAAGAGAUUGAGUGGAAAUUUUUGAUGUUUGGAUGGGAGAAGUAUGGGGGCCGAGCCAAAAAGAGAGGAGGAGGGAGAGAGAGACUCUGUACGUGAGAGAGAAUUGGAAGGAAAAAGAUAAGAAGAAAAAUGUGGUUUAGCUCUUUUAUAAUCUUUUGAUAAAAUUAUUACCACGAUGCCCUCCUCUUAAGAUGUUUUUCAGUCACAGUUAAAAGGACACUGCAUUCUAUCCGGAAUUAAGCGGGAUAUUACGAAUUCAAAAUAAGUUAACAUAAUUCCCAAUGAAUAAUAAGUCAAUUAAUUCAUAUAUACUAUUCAACAAUGAGAUCUAAAACUUAGAUCCAAAUUUUGUUACGAUGUUUCAAUGUUGUGCACAUAGAAGAAAUUCAAUUUGACUUUUCAUUAGAUUUGAUCUAGUGUAGCCUUUGUGUAAACGAGAAAUUUAUCUUUGAUGCCCUUUUAAAACAUUUUUAUUGAAAUGUGAAAUUCAAUCAAAUCGACGAAAUACCAAAUGCAUUGAGAAAAAUAUACAUUAAUCAUAUACAUUUGAUACUUCGUCGACUGAUUGAAAAUUCACCUCCAACAAAUGACUGAUGAUGGUAACAUACGAUAAGGAUUAAUCUGAUGAGUCACCUUUUUUAGCCCUGAAUAAAAAGAAGAUGGAGAAAAAACAUGGUGACAUAGAUAAAAUAAAAUCUACAUAAUACACAGAUGAAAAACAAAAUUUCUACUAACAUAAAAUACAAGUACCUAGGUAUUUAUAGCAUCAAAUAUUAACUUUUUUUAAUGGUGGAUUUAAGUUUUUAACUUAUUUUAUAUGAAAUUUAUAAAAAAAAAAAUCAAGCUUCUAGAAUGCUAAAAAGGUUUAUAAUAAAUAAUAAUAAUAAUAAUAAUAAAUAUAAAACUAUAAAAUAAAAAUAAAAAUAAAAAUGAAUUGAUAAUACGUUUUUUCUUUAAACUUAUUUGACUAAAAUUUAAGUAUUCUAAUUAUUAAAAAAUUAAAUGUGUUGAAAACCGAAGUCAAAUCAAGACCCAACUCAAGCGGUCAAUGUAUAAAAAAAGAAGUCAACAACAUUUAUUAUAAACAAAAGGAAAUUUAUUUUGCUUAGAUUGGAUUUGAUCGGUUGUCACAGUCAAAAUAAGGUACUAAAAAUUGAUCCUUUAUAAACAAAAGGAAAUUUAUUUUGCUUAGAUUGGAUUUGAUCGGUUGUCACAGUCAAAAUAAGGUACUAAAAAUUGAUCCUUUGCGGCUGCAUUAGGGGGUUCUCGCUCUCCUCCGACGGAAGAACCUCAUUAUUCGGUACCUUGCAUUAAAGGUGAUUCCCUUUCCAUACGAAUAUGCCAGGAUGAAUACGUUAAAGGUCUGGAAGAUUGUCAAUAUGCAUUACGUGGGAGACUAAUCUUGUCUAAAGGCGACAAACCUUACACCGCUCGCGAUUUAGCCUCCAAACUUGGCAAGAUUUGGAAGAUUAUCCAUCAAUGGAAGAUGGUUAAUCUUGGUCAGGGUUUCUACGAUUUUUUAUUUGAAAAUCAUGAUGAUUUUAAUCGGACUUGGACAGCGGGUACAGUUUCACUACAACCAGGGCUCCUUCGCCUCUCCCAAUGGACGAAGGAUUUUAACCACAACGCUCAGACACAAACACACGCCUCUUUAUGGAUCAAACUUGUAGUGUUGCCUCAGGAGUAUUGGCGCGAAAGAACAUUGAAAGAAAUUGCGAGUGCGGUGGGUACCCCUAUUUCUAUUGAUGGACCGACACGUAAUAGAGCUUUCGGACACUAUGCACUCAUUCUUGUGGACAUUGACUUAUCGAAGCGGGUUUAUGAUGAAAUCCUUGUUGAACGGGAGGGGUUUGCUUUUAACGUAGAAGUGCAAUAUGAAAGACGCCCUUUGUUCUAUCAUUGGACAUAAUGUCAUGAAUUGUAAGAGGUUGUCAAGGUCCCUGACCGUGGGAAGAAGCAGGUUACUGAUGCAGCUAGCAAUCCACCGCUUGUUGGGAAGGGAGCUUCUUCAUCAGGCACACUAUGUUAUGUUCCCUUACCAACAGCUGCUGAGACACAUGUUGUUGUUCCCACACCAACAGCUCAUGCACACGCUGUUGUCCCCCCACCAACAGCUGAGACAUGUGCUAUUGUUUGUAACGCCCUAUUUAAUUAUUAGAUUAUUUUAUUGAGUUUAGAGUCUAUUUAUAUGAUUUAUGUGAUUAAAAUGAUUAUGUGGUGUGUUGUUAUUUUAUUAAGUGGUGUUAUUUUAUUAUUUAAUACAAUAAGAUUUGAAAUUAAAAUAAUAUUGAGAUGAGAGGCUGUUUUGAGAAUUUAGAGAGUUUAGUGGAAUAAGUGGAAAUAAGAUAAAGAGGGUUGAGGAAAUAAAUAGGAGAAAACCUAAGUCAGAAUAGUUUUCACGUGAAACAAAACGUUUUGGAGAAAAAGGGAGAAAACAAGAGAAGAGAAGAACCGGAGAGAUCGUAGAGCUUCGUUCAUCUAAAUUAAGGUAAAGGUGAGGCUAAAUCUCAAUAAUCAUAGUGUAUGUGAAUUCUGAAAUUGAUUUAACAUGUGGUUGUUUAUGAAUUUUGGAAUUAGGGUUAGAAUGUAGAAUUGAAUUGUGGAAAGAAGUAGAUAAUCUGAUGGAUGUGCAUUAAGUAUUCUAAGUAUUAAAAAAUUAAAUGUGUUGGGGGUUUAUGCUCCGGAAUGCUUAGUCAUUCAAACACGUUAAAAUGGUACCACAUGCAUGUGCAUUGACGCAUUUGUCGUUGUGUCGUUGCAUAGUCGUUGUUGUUGGUUGAGUUGUAGUCGUUGUUGUUGGUUGAGUUGUUGUCGUUGUUGUUGUCGUUGUUGUUGGUUGAGUUUGUAGGUGUUGUUAAUAUUGAUGAAGUAUGAAACAAGACUAUUGAAUUAUCCGUUGUUAAUUAGGUUGUUAAAUACAGUUGAUGAUUUAUAUACCUAUUAUUAUUGUUUGUGAAUCUCACCCCUUCUGCUUGAAAAUGUUGCCCUUCGUAUGGGUAACUUGCAGGUGAUCGAGGAUAGUUGCUGUUAGUUGUUGUUAGUUGCUGUCGUGAGUGGACCUCCUCUCACGUGUGUCUUAGGUGCUCUGAUAUGUAACGGGAUGAGAAAUAUUGUCGUUGUAUUCAUCAUUCCUUAUGUAUCAUUAUGAACCUGUUGGUGUUGGAUUAAAUCCUUAAAGAUAAUUAUGUUGAGGCCAUGUGCCAAAUUUAUUGAAAGUUGUUUAAUGUUGAAAAUAAUUCCGCUGCGAUGAAUUGAUAUGUUUUACCAAAGUUAUUAUUUAAUAAAUAUGAUUUUAUUCUAUUUAUGAAUUUUUGAAAAGCAGUGUGACAUUCCGUUUGUUGAUUAACUCUGAUUUUACUUAAUAUUUACGUUGUUGGGUUAAUGGGGUGUUACAUUGUUCCCCCAACAGCAGCUGCCAUCCCCAAUAAUAUUGCAACAUCUGUUGUCCCUCCACCAUCAGCUGCAGCCGGUGAGGCAGCAGGUACCACUUGUAGCAACUUGCAAGGUUUUUCUGAACCUAUUCCUCAAGGUAAUCUACCUCGGCCUAAUACACAUGUUUUGGAGCUAGCAGAAUCUGUGAUGAAUGAUGAUGUGCAACGUUCAUCCGAGACACUUCCGGUUAAUCAAAAUAAUAUUUAUGUUGAACACGGCGAAGAACAGGAUGAUGAUGAUGACAUUGAUUUUUUUAUUGAUGAAGAUGGUAUUGCAACAGCUGCACCGAAGACUACUACUACUUCCAUCCCUCUGGUUUUGGCAGCAGUCCCAGUACCUGAUCCUUUGGUGGCUGCCUCGACGGUGGGCUCUCAGGAUGAUAACGCUUUAUCCAUUGCCGUCCCGGAGAAACACAACAAUGAUAGAGUUCAACAUGAUAUGGAACUUUGUGAAAAAGAGUAUGAUAUGCAGGUUGAAGCUCUUUCUGGGUCACGCCCUUCCUUGGCGUCACCGGUUGUUGUAGAGAGGUCUCUUGAAGCUAGCGCUAGCAUGACAAUACCAGAAGCUCAAGAGGUUGUAGUUUUACAACAACAACAUGUACAUCCCAUCAAGAACAUUCAACACGGCCUAGAUCUAUGGGACAGAGUUCGUGAAUAUGAUGCAAGGUCAGCUGCAGAAGAUUUCACACCGGUCCUUACAAGGAAGCAGAAAUAGAAAAUUAAAGUGCAACAAGUCUUGGCUAAGCAGCCCCCUAAAACCCGUGCCCGGGGUGAUAAUCAUCAGACUGCUCAAUGAAUUUCCUCCAUUGGAAUGUUAGAGGUAUCAGUAAUUAUGAUACUCGGAUUGCUUUAAAAAUUUAUACAUGUCUCAAAAAACUGUUCUGAUUUUUAUUGAGGACCUAGCAUGGGUCACUCAGUGCAAAGAACGGUUUGACUAUCUUCUCUCCCUAAUGAGUGAUUUCUUUAGGGAUAGAUGUGGUUUACCCAACGACAUAUUUCCAUAAUUUGUUUUACGGUGUUUUUUGUUGAUUCCUUUAUUCUUGCUUUCUGUUUUUUCUCUAGAGGGUUUUGGUCUAGUCCCCCCUCCUUUGUAUUUAUUUUCCCCCUUUUUUUAAUAAAUUUUUUAGAGUUUGGCAGCAUAGGAUGGAGAUUUCUCACGGUGCCAACCAAGUUGGGAUGUCGAUGUUGCCUCUUGAUGUCUGUCCAUUCUCCUUGCUUAUAAAAAAAUUAUUAAAAAAUUAAAUGUGUUGAAAACCGAAGUCAAAUCAAGACCCAACCAAGCGUCAAUGUAUAAAAAAAUGAAGUCAACAACAUUUAUUAUAAACAAAAGGAAAUUUAUUUUGCUUAGAUUGGAUUUGAUCAGUUGUCACAGUCAAAACUAAAAAUUGAUCGAGUCUAUUUAAGAAAAUAAGGUUUUUAUUUUAUUUUUAUAUUUUCGUCCGGUUGGUGAACUUUGCAAUGGAUGUGAGAAAUCAUAUUUUAAGGCAUCUAACUAAAGACCUCCUAUUAGCGAGUAUUCUUGUACGCAUUGUACUCAAUUCCAUAUUAAACAUGCCACGAACAAUCCAAAUAAAUGGACCGAUGAAUCUAUACCAGAAAUAGAUUAUAUCUAUUCAUGUUAUAAUUUAAGAUUUCACUAGGUAAUUUUGAUUGCAUUAUAACUAUAAGCCUUUGAUUUUUUAAUACAUGAAUUGAUUGCGGAAACAUUACAACUAUUUAAUUUGACUAUAUGCUUUGUUAUCUUAUUUUUGUCAAAAAAAUUAAAUUUAAACUCAUAUCAUAAAAUAAUGAAUGCAACUUGAUAAUAUAUAUUACAAUCACAAAAACUUAAAUAUUAUUCCAUAAACCGAAGACUUAACAUAAUUAGCUUUAGUAAAAAAUCUACUCUCGAAACUCUCUUUUACACGUAAAUAAGCAUUAGGUAAAAAAAAAUUGCUUUUGGUUUUUACUGUUUUUUUUUCUACAUGUGUUCGACAAUAUUUUUUUUUUCUAAGCCAGGAUAUUGGACAGGCAUCAACGGGAAGCAACGACAUCCCAACUAAGUGGCACCCCGCAGAACCCCCAUCCUAUACCACCAAUCUCAGAGAAAAUUUUGUUAAAAAAGGGGGAACUUUAAUUAACUUUUUCCCGAUUCACAUUUCUUAAAUUAACUCAAUUCUUGCAUCCAUUGUUCGUUUUUUCCCAUUAAGCACUUCUGAUUCAUUCCAAAACAGCUCAUUCAUCAAAAACUAUGCCAAAACCUGUAAGCAGCUUUCUGCAGAAUUUACCAAACUUCAAAUGCGUUUUUCGAAUCCAUUUCUAAUCAGAAUCAUACCAAAUCUAUAUCCAAACUGAAGGGAAUCAAAUGUAGAAAUAAAAAAUUCAACAAUUAUACAAGUAUGGGUUACACAUCUAAAUUUAAAGCUUAUUAUGAAACUCACCUCUAAUACAACUUCCAUUGAUACCAAAAACUUCAAAGCUGUCUGUCUCUUUUAAAGCUUCUGCUCAAACUUCCUUCUAUUCCUUCCCAUCAGUUCUUUCUUCUAAACACCAACAUAUACAACCAUCAUCAAUAGAUUACAUGCAAGCCAUUUAUCAAGCUGAAGAUAAAACUUUCCAAAACAACAUGUGAAGGAUGAUGGUACGGCCGGGGAAGAAAAGAAAGCAAUUAAGUUUGUUUUAGGGAUGAAAUAGUGUGAGGAUUGUGAUAGUUUCUUUGCAUGUUGGAUUGAUAUAAGAGAUUGAGUGGAAAUUUUUGAAGUUUGGACGGGAGAACUAUGGGGGCCGAGCCAAAAAGAGAGGAGGAGGGAGAGAGAGACUAUGUACGUGAGAGAGAAU